GUCCCUGUAACGCAAUGGAUAGCGUGUUGGACUUCUAAUCCAAAGAUUGUGGGUUUGAAUCUCAAGGGGGAUG
Molecule: non-coding RNA, 73 nt
Organism: Trichonephila inaurata madagascariensis
Lineage: Eukaryota; Metazoa; Arthropoda; Arachnida; Araneae; Nephilidae
Source: the annotation of a GenBank genome assembly